Molecule: ribosomal RNA, 253 nt
Filed under: uncultured bacterium
Lineage: Bacteria
Description: partial 16S ribosomal RNA
Rfam family: Bacterial small subunit ribosomal RNA
Source: RNAcentral
UACGUAGGGGGCUAGCGUUGUCCGGAUUUAUUGGGCGUAAAGAGCGUGUAGGCGGCCAUGUAGGUCCGGUGUGAAAACUCGAGGCUUAACCUCGAGAUGUCAUCGGAAACCAUUUGGCUAGAGUCCGGAAGAGGAGAGUGGAAUUCCCGGUGUAGCGGUGAAAUGCGCAGAUAUCGGGAGGAACACCAAUGGCGAAAGCAGGUAACUGGACUAUUACUGACACUCAACUGCGAAAGCUAGGGGAGCAAACAGG